GCGGGGGUAGCCCAGUGGCCUACGGCGCCGGUCUUGAAAACCGGUGGAGAUUCUCCUCGGGGGUUCAAAUCCCUCUCCCCGCGCCA
Molecule: transfer RNA, 86 nt
Filed under: Thermoplasmata archaeon
Lineage: Archaea; Methanobacteriati; Thermoplasmatota; Thermoplasmata
Description: tRNA-Ser
Rfam family: tRNA
About the family: Transfer RNA (tRNA) molecules are approximately 80 nucleotides in length. Their secondary structure includes four short double-helical elements and three loops (D, anti-codon, and T loops).
Source: RNAcentral